Molecule: long non-coding RNA, 1203 nt
Organism: Rhipicephalus sanguineus (brown dog tick)
Lineage: Eukaryota; Metazoa; Arthropoda; Arachnida; Ixodida; Ixodidae
Exons: 2
Source: RefSeq, a predicted model, not a curated record
CCCCCCGGAGAAAAAUUUCUGUCUACGUCCCUGAUCCAAUGGGUAAAGUCAUCUGGUACAUUUGGUUUCAAUGUGGUCUCCCUGAGCAACCUGUACUUAAUAUCCUUAGUACUAGAUUGCAACCAUAAAAAGUGACAGCAUUCAUGCUAACAUUAUUUUGUAAGCCAGGCUGUAGCUUUGCAUACCACAGCAGGUGGCUUUGCAUUUGUCAUUCCCAUCUACAGAAGUUGUAACAAAGUUGAAAGUGGAGGGCCUAUGUUAUUAGAGCAAAAUGUGUUGAUGGCAAUGCAUAGUGUAUGUCAAUGAACUAGCUUCUCCUCUAGCAGUGACAACCAGACUAGAAUUCUUCGGUGUAAACUCUUUGUUCACACAACUCUCACUAUUGCUUAGUUCCAAAACCAGAAGAGAAAAAGCUUUCUUGUGUGGGAAUACGGACACAAAAGCGUGCUUGCUUGAAGUUGGUGCUAUUGGUCUUUUAUACAGUCACAGGCAUAGUUGCUGGUCGGCUGUUGUUUCUGCCUCCUCUUCCUCAAGGGACCAUUCUGUAGUUGUGCCUUAUUGCUUUUAUGCGUGCACAUUGUAAAUAUGUAAAAAGGGAUCUGUGCUAGUAUGUGUGAGUUGUUUAUUACUUGCCAUUGGACAAUGUGUGCCCCAAGCAGCUGUGCACAACAGUGUUGCAUUGUAGGCAUCUUCGAGUGACUUAAAUGCGUGAUUCAGUAUUUAUUCUCUAAUAAUGUGUUAUCUCUUAUUCAGCUAUGUGUAGUGAGCAAUAUAUCUCAAUCAUAGCAAUGUGAUGCAAACAAGUGCCUUAACUGUAAUCAAAACAUGCUUGACAGUGAGCUGUGCUUUGAAGGCCUCACUGUGUCUCUGCUUUACAGACAUUGGUAGUGUAUGUAUUGUUUCAUGUACUAGUUACUGCUCUCAGAAUUGUUUUUUGUCUGCAUUCUUGGCACCUUAUAUAUGAGGUGAACUUCAGGAAGUUAAUGCUACAUUUCUCUUUUUAUAUGACUACACAUUGUUUGUUACUGUGUGUUAGCAAUGCUUGAGCUUUUGUAUGUGCCACAAAUACAUUUCAAUACUCUUCUUUUUUCUUAGAAUCGUGAAAGCUGUACACUUUUUUUGUGUGUUGCAGUGAUGUCAUUUGUUGUGUUGUGCACACUUCUCACAAACCUGAAUAAAACACAGCACAUAUUACUGCUUGCU